Molecule: long non-coding RNA, 731 nt
Organism: Herpailurus yagouaroundi (jaguarundi)
Lineage: Eukaryota; Metazoa; Chordata; Mammalia; Carnivora; Felidae
Exons: 2
Source: RefSeq, a predicted model, not a curated record
UCUCUCUCUCUCCCCUCUCUCUCUCUCCCCCCCCCCCUUUUUUUUUCCUCUUUGGUCUCAGUCAUGGGGACACCAUUGGGAAUGGAGGGAAGCCAGUGACUGCAUGCUAGAAGCUUUCUAAGUUGCGCACUGAUAUUCCAGGCCGGCUGUGCCUGAGCCAGUGUGGGCUUAAGUUCUUCACGGCCCCGGGGCCCUGGGAAGGUGGAGCCAGCUGCUUCUCCCCGAAUAACUGGGAGGUGAAACAAGAAGCUCUAUGACGCAGUUGAUCGAAAAUGACACAGACACAGAAAAGUCAGGACUCGGCCCCCUCCAGUGCCUCCACCUGCUGCCCACAGCCAGAGUGCAGGUGAAGGGUUUCCCCUGGGGCUUGAUCCUAACUAAACCCCGGAAGACGUUUGGAACUCUUUUUCCACACCUACUCUAAUCGUGGCCUGUUAAUGAUCACACUAAAAUCAUCACUAACUUUGAGCCUUCUACUGGAAACCUCUGUCUUCUCAGCUGCCUCCUUUUCUUCCCCCACACCUCAGUCACCUUCGUUCCACGAGGUUUCUUGGGCUCAUACUGUUAAGGCAUGUUCUAGAGUUGAGUUGGAUGGGACCCACUCUGUCCCUCCCCCUUCCCAGCACUUACCAAUAUCAACAAUUAUGCUGUUUGUUCACUCAUUAAUUGGCCGUGUACCUCUCAACCUGCUUUCCAAAUUUCAGUUCAAUAAAGGAAGAUUCUAGUCUGUC